Regulatory RNA element from Desulfosporosinus sp., 100 nucleotides. It matches the Rfam family "Pyrrolysine insertion sequence mttB". Lineage: Bacteria; Bacillati; Bacillota; Clostridia; Eubacteriales; Desulfitobacteriaceae. The record is from Rfam.
UAGACGGAUAGCAAAGUACCGGAUGCCCAAGCGGCCCAUGAGUUUACCCUGACCGCCUUAUUACCAGCGUUAGCAGGCGCUAACAUGAUAUAUGGUCUGG